GGGUAGCUUUUCUGGAACAAAGUUGGACAGCAGGAAGGAAGCCAAGCUGCUGAAGUUGAGUCCAGCCAAUGCCACUUGACUCAGUUUUGUCAUCUCUGUUUCUCAUAUCAGUGUUCUUUCCUACUAAAUUACCAGGUCACCCAUAGUGUUGAAUUCUGAAAACUGUUUCCCAUGGAUCCUAAUCCUCCUGCAUAUGGACCCCUCCGCUGCAAAACACAAAGCACUUGCUUCCCUCACACAGACACUGAUCAAACCAUGUUGUUUGGUCUGCAUGUUUGGGAGCAUUCUUUCCCAGUGGGACCACCUGAACCCUUCUCCUGGGGGAGUCUGUGGAUUUUCUUUACAUGCUUAUUAUCCACUAAGUCUGUGAUGAGAAUGUCUAUCAUUCCUUUGUUGCAGUGGUGUUGGCAUGGAUGCUGUGCAAGUGUCUGUCAGUGAUGCUAUGAAGAGGCAGUCUGCCACCAGCUUAUAUGCCAUCGCAAAGACCCGGUCAUCUUGCAUCCGCCCUGAAUUCCAUGGACACACCUGGCCUUGAGAGCAGCAGCCUUCCCCGCACCCUUCCAGUGCCUGUUCUUGGGCUACAGUUGAGCUCCGAGGAGCUGAUAAGAGAGCUCUUCUGGCCUUCGCUCUUCUUUCUCUUUUAAUAAGGCUGUGGCAUGUUUCAAUUUAAUGAUACUUA
Molecule: long non-coding RNA, 679 nt
Organism: Hemicordylus capensis (graceful crag lizard)
Lineage: Eukaryota; Metazoa; Chordata; Lepidosauria; Squamata; Cordylidae
Exons: 3
Source: RefSeq, a predicted model, not a curated record